ACAACCUUCCUCUCUCACAAAGAUAGUAGGUCACUAUUGCAUAGUGGCUUCCCCAGCAAUUUCCCACCGAGUUCAUUUGCCUUGGACUGGAAGAUGGGGGGCUGCUCAGGUCAUGAGAGUUUCACAGGGAUCAGCCCUGCUCCCAGCUGCAGGUGACAGAAAAGUCAGCUCAAAGUGGCUACCAAAACAAGAAACCCCACUGACAUUCGGACUGGAAAUCAGAAGUGGGAGGCUUGGAUCCAGCAGUCCAUCAGGGACCCAGGCUCUUCAUGCCUCUCCUCUCUGCCCUGUGUUCUUCAUCCUAGACCUGGAUCCCCUAUGUUCUUGCGAAGGCCAUCAGGAGCCACCUGGUCAUCUGCCUCCUCUAAGAACAGAUUCACUUUGCUGUACACCUGAAACUAAUACAACACUGCAAGCCAACUAUGCUCCAAAAAAAAGAAAAAAAGGCUUUGACAGAACCUUCAGCCACCUUCUUCUUAAGUCUGACUGAUCCAAAAUGGGCCCACUAGUCCUAAACUGAUCACAGGCC
RNAcentral lists this long non-coding RNA (529 nucleotides) under Sus scrofa (pig). Its description in RNAcentral is "lncRNA (ENSSSCG00015006794.1, ENSSSCG00025019656.1)". Lineage: Eukaryota; Metazoa; Chordata; Mammalia; Artiodactyla; Suidae. The record is from RNAcentral.